RNAcentral lists this ribosomal RNA (486 nucleotides) under uncultured bacterium. RNAcentral's name for it is "partial 16S ribosomal RNA". It matches the Rfam family "Bacterial small subunit ribosomal RNA", at positions 29 to 507 of the family's 1533-position model. The record is from RNAcentral.
AUUGAACGCUGGCGGCAUGCCUUACACAUGCAAGUCGAACGGCAGCACGGGUGCUUGCACCUGGUGGCGAGUGGCGAACGGGUGAGUAAUACAUCGGAACAUGUCCUGUAGUGGGGGAUAGCCCGGCGAAAGCCGGAUUAAUACCGCAUACGAUCUACGGAUGAAAGCGGGGGACCUUCGGGCCUCGCGCUAUAGGGUUGGCCGAUGGCUGAUUAGCUCGUUGGUGGGGUAAAGGCCUACCAAGGGGACGAUCAGGAGCUGGUCUGAGAGGACGACCAGCCACACUGGGACUGAGACACGGCCCAGACGCCUACGGGAGGGCGCAGUGGGGAAUUUUGGACAAAGGGCGAAAGCCUGGUCCAGCAAUGCCGCGUGUGUGAAGAAGGCCUUCGGGGUGUAAAGCACUUUUGUCCGGAAAGAAAUCCUUGGCCCUAAUACGGUCGGGGGAUGACGGUACCGGAAGAAUAAGCACCGGCUAACUACGUG